GCUGAAAUAGGGACGCCAUUGGCGUCGGAGGCACGAUUUGCCCAGCUUUCUAAGGAGGCGGAACUGGACAGAGCUCCUGGACCAGGCAAAUAGGAGCAAAGUUUUCGCGCCUCAUCCCAAGAACAUGAAAAGCUAAAGAGCAGGGACCUUCAUCACUACUACCCUCUGCAUGGGCACAAGGACAUGGGUACCAGCACUUGCAGCAGCCUCCCCUUGAGGUCUCCCCAUAGUACCCAGGGCAUUCUCAGUGCUGCCCCCCACCAGCUUCCUGGAUGCUUCACAUUUUACAUGGAUCUCAACCAGGAGCAACCACAAAACAGCCAGCCCUUUCUGGUAUCUUGUGAGGGACAGAAGCCUGAAGGAUCAGUGUACAGAUGCUGCAGAUCUGCCUCCCCUCCUCCCCAGACAUAACAAACCCUGUACACCCAACCUUU
This 434-nucleotide long non-coding RNA is filed under the name Mus pahari (shrew mouse). Its description in RNAcentral is "lncRNA (MGP_PahariEiJ_G0003838.1)". The record is from RNAcentral. Lineage: Eukaryota; Metazoa; Chordata; Mammalia; Rodentia; Muridae.